UACGUAGGUGGCAAGCGUUGUCCGGAAUUACUGGGUGUAAAGGGCGUGUAGGCGGGAUAGCAAGUCAGAUGUGAAAUUCCGGGGCUUAACCCCGGCACUGCAUCUGAAACUGUUAUUCUUGAGUGUCGGAGAGGAAAGUGGAAUUCCCAGUGUAGCGGGGAAAUGCGUAGAGAUUGGGAGCAACACCAGUGGCGAAGGCGGCUUUCUGGACGAUAACUGACGCUGAGGCGCGAAAGCGUGGGGAGCAAACAGG
RNAcentral lists this ribosomal RNA (253 nucleotides) under uncultured bacterium. Its description in RNAcentral is "partial 16S ribosomal RNA". It matches the Rfam family "Bacterial small subunit ribosomal RNA", at positions 524 to 776 of the family's 1533-position model. The record is from RNAcentral.